This 78-nucleotide small RNA is filed under the name Xanthomonas arboricola pv. populi. RNAcentral's name for it is "sX9 sRNA". It matches the Rfam family "Xanthomonas sRNA sX9". RNAcentral also lists the same sequence under 1 other name. Lineage: Bacteria; Pseudomonadati; Pseudomonadota; Gammaproteobacteria; Lysobacterales; Lysobacteraceae. The record is from RNAcentral.
AUGGACCACGCGUACGCUCCGGUUCUGAGCACGCCGCCCGCACUCCCCUCAUGACCUCUCGCUACGUUUUUGUUAGCC